Molecule: small RNA, 27 nt
Filed under: Bombyx mori (domestic silkworm)
Lineage: Eukaryota; Metazoa; Arthropoda; Insecta; Lepidoptera; Bombycidae
Description: ovarian small RNA-22251
Source: RNAcentral
UAGCACUUUAUAAACUUAACUACGAUA